CGAGGCUUAUAGGUUUGUCUGGGUCCUGCUAAGUCUACAGACCUGCGGUUCAAGUCCGUUGAAGCCUCG
This 69-nucleotide transfer RNA is filed under the name Diadema setosum. Its description in RNAcentral is "tRNA-Ser". Lineage: Eukaryota; Metazoa; Echinodermata; Echinoidea; Diadematoida; Diadematidae. The record is from RNAcentral.